GGUCAAUGAUGAACAGUAAAAGGUCUGAUUCCCACAAUCCUUUGCUGCCUCCGGCUCCCAGCGGCUUGCUCUCUGCUCCCAUCAUGCUCCAGUCAUGCAGUCAUGGGCUCAGCAGCUGCUGACACACAGGAUGUGACAUCAUUCAUGAUGUGACAUCACUGAGAGGUUGACAUGAGAACCUGCAGCCUCUCUGUGAUGCUGAUCCAACAUAACCAAUCAGAAUGGAGCAUCUGGAGGAGGAAGAAAGUAAAGAAUGGGAGCUGAUCUCAAGUUUUCAAGCUGAGACC
This 287-nucleotide small nucleolar RNA is filed under the name Cyprinodon variegatus (sheepshead minnow). RNAcentral describes it as "Small Cajal body specific RNA 6 (ENSCVAG00000016996.1)". It matches the Rfam family "Small Cajal body specific RNA 6". Rfam says of the family: U88 is small Cajal body specific RNA (scaRNA). scaRNAs are a novel class of small nuclear RNAs which localise to the Cajal bodies. U88 is found associated with both fibrillarin and Gar1p and co-localises with coilin in Cajal bodies. Lineage: Eukaryota; Metazoa; Chordata; Actinopteri; Cyprinodontiformes; Cyprinodontidae. The record is from Rfam by way of RNAcentral.